This 254-nucleotide ribosomal RNA is filed under the name uncultured bacterium. RNAcentral describes it as "partial 16S ribosomal RNA". It matches the Rfam family "Bacterial small subunit ribosomal RNA", at positions 524 to 776 of the family's 1533-position model. The record is from RNAcentral.
UACGGAGGGUGCGAGCGCUGUCCGGAAUCAUUGGGCGUAAAGGGCGCGUAGGUGGCCCGGUCAGUUCGUGGUGAAAGCGCGGGGCUCAACCCUGCGUCGGCCAUGAAUACUGCCGCGGCUGGAGCACUGUAGAGGCAGGCGGAAUUCCGGGUGUAGCGGUGGAAUGCGUAGAGAUCCGGAAGAACACCGGUGGCGAAGGCGGCCUGCUGGGCAGUUGCUGACACUGAGGCGCGACAGCGUGGGGAGCAAACAGG